RNAcentral lists this non-coding RNA (250 nucleotides) under Clostridium baratii. RNAcentral describes it as "T-box sequence". It matches the Rfam family "T-box leader". Rfam says of the family: Uncharged tRNA acts as the effector for transcription antitermination of genes in the T-box leader family. T-boxes are found upstream of many aminoacyl-tRNA synthetase genes and some amino acid biosynthetic genes usually in Gram-positive bacteria. The record is from RNAcentral. Lineage: Bacteria; Bacillati; Bacillota; Clostridia; Eubacteriales; Clostridiaceae.
UUAAAAACUAUGAAAAAGUAAAGUAGUAUAAAGGAAGAUUACAGAGAGAAAAGCAUAGCUGGGAGCUUUUUAUCUAGAAUUUAUAUGAAGUGCGCUUUGGAGUUGAUACCCUGAAUUUUAAGUAAGGUUAUCCGGGUUCUCCCGUUAUAGUGAUAUGGUAUAAAAUGUACCAAAUUUUAAGGUGGAAUUAGUUUUUUUAUUUUACUAAUUCAAUUAGAGUGGAACCGCGAGAAGUUACUUCGUCUCUAUG